Molecule: ribosomal RNA, 253 nt
Filed under: uncultured bacterium
Lineage: Bacteria
Description: partial 16S ribosomal RNA
Rfam family: Bacterial small subunit ribosomal RNA
Source: RNAcentral
GACAGAGGGUGCAAACGUUGUUCGGAAUUACUGGGCGUAAAGCGAGUGUAGGCGGUCCGAAAAGUCGGGUGUGAAAGCCCUGGGCUCAACCCAGGAAGUGCACUCGAAACUGCCGGGCUAGAGUACUGGAGAGGUUGGUGGAAUUCUCGGUGUAGAGGUGAAAUUCGUAGAUAUCGAGAGGAACACCGGUGGCGAAGGCGGCUUUCUGGGUCUUACCUGACGCUGAGGAACGAAAGCCAGGGGAGCGAACGGG